UACGUAGGGUGCGAGCGUUGUCCGGAAUUACUGGGCGUAAAGAGCUCGUAGGUGGUUUGUCGCGUUGUUCGUGAAAACUCACAGCUCAACUGUGGGCGUGCGGGCGAUACGGGCAGACUGGAGUACUGCAGGGGAGACUGGAAUUCCUGGUGUAGCGGUGGAAUGCGCAGAUAUCAGGAGGAACACCGGUGGCGAAGGCGGGUCUCUGGGCAUCUCCUGACGCUGAGGCGCGAAAGCGUGGGGAGCAAACGGG
This 253-nucleotide ribosomal RNA is filed under the name uncultured bacterium. RNAcentral's name for it is "partial 16S ribosomal RNA". It matches the Rfam family "Bacterial small subunit ribosomal RNA", at positions 524 to 776 of the family's 1533-position model. The record is from RNAcentral.